This 503-nucleotide ribosomal RNA is filed under the name uncultured Glomus. RNAcentral describes it as "SSU rRNA". It matches the Rfam family "Eukaryotic small subunit ribosomal RNA", at positions 569 to 1078 of the family's 1831-position model. The record is from RNAcentral. Lineage: Eukaryota; Fungi; Glomeromycota; Glomeromycetes; Glomerales; Glomeraceae.
AGCAGCCGCGGUAAUUCCAGCUCCAAUAGCGUAUAUUAAAGUUGUUGCAGUUAAAAAGCUCGUAGUUGAAUUUCGGGAUCAAUAUGCCGGUCAUGCCUUGGUAUGCACUGGUAUCUUUGAUUUCUCCCUUCUGACGAACUUUGAUGUCAUUAAUUUGGUGUCAUAGGGAAUCAGGACUGUUACUUUGAAAAAUUAGAGUGUUUAAAGCAGGCUCACGCUUGAAUACAUUAGCAUGGAAUAAUGAAAUAGGACGUUUGAUUCUAUUUUGUUGGUUUCUAGGAUCGACGUAAUGAUUAAUAGGGAUAGUUGGGGGCAUUAGUAUUCAAUUGUCAGAGGUGAAAUUCUUGGAUUUAUUGAAGACUAACUACUGCGAAAGCAUUUGCCAAGGAUGUUUUCAUUAAUCAAGAACGAAAGUUAGGGGAUCGAAGACGAUCAGAUACCGUCGUAGUCUUAACCAUAAACUAUGCCGACUAGGGAUCGGAUGAUGUUAAUUUUUUAANGUA